RNAcentral lists this ribosomal RNA (486 nucleotides) under uncultured bacterium. RNAcentral describes it as "partial 16S ribosomal RNA". It matches the Rfam family "Bacterial small subunit ribosomal RNA", at positions 30 to 507 of the family's 1533-position model. The record is from RNAcentral.
AUUGAACGCUGGCGGCAUGCCUUACACAUGCAAGUCGAACGGCAGCACGGGUGCUUGCACCUGGUGGCGAGUGGCGAACGGGUGAGUAAUACAUCGGAACAUGUCCUGUAGUGGGGGAUAGCCCGGCGAAAGCCGGAUUAAUACCGCAUACGAUCUACGGAUGAAAGCGGGGGACCUUCGGGCCUCGCGCUAUAGGGUUGGCCGAUGGCUGAUUAGCUAGUUGGUGGGGUAAAGGCCUACCAAGGCGACGAUCAGUAGCUGGUCUGAGAGGACGACCAGCCACACUGGGACUGAGACACGGCCCAGACUCCUACGGGAGGCAGCAGUGGGGAAUUUUGGACAAUGGGCGAAAGCCUGAUCCAGCAAUGCCGCGUGUGUGAAGAAGGCCUUCGGGUUGUAAAGCACUUUUGUCCGGAAAGAAAUCCUUGGCCCUAAUACGGUCGGUGGAUGGCGGUACCGGAAGAAUAAGCACCGGCUAACUACGUG